Lonchura striata (white-rumped munia) is the source of this 778-nucleotide non-coding RNA. The record is from RefSeq and is a predicted model, not a curated record. NCBI's taxonomy places the organism in Eukaryota, Metazoa, Chordata, Aves, Passeriformes, Estrildidae.
ACGCUUGUGUCCCCGAGGAAGGGACACGCUGCCCGGCAGCUGCGGGCUCGCCGUGCGCACAGGCGGGGAGAGCGAGCCCGGCUCCGAGCGCGCAGCACCGGGCACCUUCAGGGACAGCAUGGGGCCGGCUCCGGCCGGGGUCACCCUUUGUGGGUGCCACAAAGGCACCGCACCCCGCGGGAGAGAUGAGCAGCGCUCGCAGAUUUACGGCGAUUGCAGAGAGGCAGCAGGACAGCGGCUGCGGCAGCGUGUUUGAAGAGGAAUUCUGUGAGGCUGUAGUAGUUCCUGAGCUGCUGCUCUGCACAUCCCUGUGCUGUUCUCCAGAGGUGGUGAGGGCAGAGCUGAUCCUGCCCCUGUGACAAUACCUGUGAGGAUGUUUCCUCUUCUGCAAUCGGGAGCAGGCACCGUGCAGAGGGGUUGUACAGUGGUAGGUAACUUCAUCCUGAAGAAUCACCAGCUGAAAGAAGUCCUCAGACAGAAGUUAUACUCUUUAGCUGUGGAGGGUGAACAAGUGGUGGAAGGAGGAAGAGUUAAUCGCCUUGCUGGGGCUGGGGGCCCCAAGGACUCCUUGAUUUGCAGACCAAGAAUUGCCUGCACCCCAGCAGCUUUACCUCUUCCUCCUGCUGCCCAUGAGGAGCAAAGGCAAGAUCAUCACCAUGUUCCACCUGCCCAGGGAGCCCUUCUGGCUGAUUAAAAGGCAAAUUAAGUUCUGACUUCACUUCUGUUCAUUAAGGCACAGACCCCACGGCAGGAGCAAUAAACCCAUGGUGGACGCUUU